AGCUACCCGAGUGUUUCUGAAUUGGCC
RNAcentral lists this non-coding RNA (27 nucleotides) under Homo sapiens (human). The record is from RNAcentral. Lineage: Eukaryota; Metazoa; Chordata; Mammalia; Primates; Hominidae.